UUCCCACUUGUUUACCGGGGCCCUGGGCCGCUCAAACAGCUGGUUUGGUACAUGAGGCAUGUUGAUCAAUGUCGGAAACAACGAAACCAAUGACAUAAUGUUAAUGAGGUCCCAGUUCUUUCUCCCUGUGUCAUACCAGUCCAGU
Molecule: long non-coding RNA, 145 nt
Organism: Thalassophryne amazonica
Lineage: Eukaryota; Metazoa; Chordata; Actinopteri; Batrachoidiformes; Batrachoididae
Exons: 3
Source: RefSeq, a predicted model, not a curated record